Podarcis lilfordi (Lilford's wall lizard) is the source of this 3426-nucleotide non-coding RNA. The record is from the annotation of a GenBank genome assembly. Lineage: Eukaryota; Metazoa; Chordata; Lepidosauria; Squamata; Lacertidae.
UACACUUGAACAGGUUUCUUCAAAAAAAGGUUUAUUUACGCACACACAACCAGUUAAGAAAAUGCAAAAUAAAAAUGUCAUACAGCAGUAACAGCAAGUUAGAACCUGAGAACUUUUACGUUUCGAACUACAUAAAACUUUUUCAUGUUGACAUGCUCAUUGAGCUGCCAGAAAUUCUUGCGCCAAAUAUUGCUACUGGCUAGAAGGAAUACUCUUCCCCCCUCCCAUUUUGAGUAUUACAAAAAUAGAAUUUAUUAUAUCGACAUCAUAAAAUUUAUAUACCACUUGUUCAUAAAAAAACACCCCAACCCAAGUGUUUUACUAACACUUUCGCUGCUUUGGAAGCACCACUAAAAAUGGAGGGGGGGUAUAGUAUCCUAAGACGUUGAGGAUCAAACUAACAUCCCUCCACCCUUACAAUCUAUUCACAAGGACAGAAAAAACAAAUUACUUUUCACAGUGCAAGGAAAACCCAAAGGGAGUGUUAAAACCUUUUUGUCACUGUAUUUUUUGAAUACUGACUGCACUCAUUUAGAAACCAAGCAGAAACGAAAAAGGAAAAGCAACAACAACAGCAUCCUCAUAUCUGUGCAAGGGUGGUCUCCUCAAUGUGAGAAUUCUGGAAGUUUCAGUUAAAGAUAUAUAUAUAUAUAUAUAUAUACGCCAACACGUUUCAAAGGCAUCUUUUGAUUUUUCCCCCCCAAAAAAGAAUUCACAAUGACACAGUCAUUACUAUCAUCUAAAUGUAGAUUUGCCUAAAUGCAAACAAACAAAAAUAUCAGUGCUCAAUGUCAAUCUCAAGAACAGCAGGGAGCUGAAAAGGAACCUGAAGAGCUAAUAUGGAGUAAAUUAAGGGUAGCUAUUUUGAGUCAGAGACAGUUCACAAAAAGAGUGACCAAUUUCUUUCAAUAGUCACGUGGUUACAUGUCGGGUUGUCAGCUAAUUAAGUAAAUCCUGGCCAAUUAAUUAACCAAGUUAACUCUAAUAUCCUAUUCAUACCUACAGUGGUACCUCAGGUUAAGAACUUAUUUCGUUCCGGAGGUCCUUUCUUAACCUGAAACUGUUCUUAACCUGAGGUACCAUUUAGCUUAUGGAGCCCCCCGCUGCUGCCGUGCCGCCAGCAUGCAAUUUCUGUUCUCAUCCUGAGGUAAAGCUCUUAACCUGAGGUACUACCUCCGGGUUAGCGGAGUCUGUAACCUGAAGUGUCUGUAACCCGAGGUGUCUGUAACACAAGGUACCACUGUAUUUUUAAGGACGUCCCAGUGAAUUAAAAGUGCCUUGCUCCAAACUAAGUGUGCAGAGAAGCGCAGCCUAAAUGUUCAACUCCAAUAAGAUUGCAAUAUCAGUUAACAGCCCUUACAUGGUAAAAGCACAUUACCCUGCCUUGGAAAAGGCUAGGAAUCGAGAGUAUUCGAAAGUUCAGUUGCCUGCAAUUCUUAUCAAAUGGGAGUCCUUGCUUUUGUAAAACCUGCUUAUCCGGUGACUGACGAUGGAAGAAACACCAGUGCGUAUGGGAUAAAGCGGCUGGACCCAUAAGGCAGAAGUACCCGUAGCACAAGUAGCGUAUCUGUACUGCAGAUGGGUUGCUGGGGUUUCAAUACACAGUCUAGCUUGGCAGCUAUCCACAACCCAUGGUAAAUGGCAUGCUGGGGCUGCGCCGCUUACCUGGCUGCCCUCUGGCACAGUUGGGCUACGUAUCGUGAUAGAGAGGGGGAGUGGCAAGGCAUUGUGAGGUCAGUACAGUGCAAACCUGCCAUCGAGCCAAUUCAGUGCUCCCGCUGCCGCAUUUGCACAAUGCUGACCUCCAGGACUCGGAAAUACCUUAUUUUCAACAUCACGAUAAAUCACCAGCUAAACAUUGUGAUAUAUCGAUAUAGCACUAUGUCUGAAAUAAGGCUGGAAGUAUGCAGAGGCGAACAGUAGAGCUGGGCGAUAUCUGGUUUUCAACAUCGCAUUAUAUCACCAGCUAAACAUUGUGAUAUACCAAUAUAUCACCAUGUCUGAAAUAAGGAUGGAGGCCAUUGGCUGGCUUAACGGUUUUUCCCAUACAGUGGUACCUCAGGUUAAGAACUUAAUUUGUUCUGUAGAUCCAUUCUUAACCUGAAACUGUUUUUAACCUGAGGUACCACUUUAGCUUAUGAGGCCUCCCGCUGCCGCCGCACCACCAGAGAACGAUUUCUGUUCUCAUCCUGAAGCAAAGUUCUUAAACUGAGGUACUAUUUCUGGGUUAGCGGAGUCUGUAACCUGAAGCGUCUGUAACCCGAGGUACCACUGUAUCAUGAUUUUUGCAUAGCUCGCGUGCGCGCACACACACACAAUUUGCAAUAUAUUGCCAGGUCAAAAAUUAUGAAACCAAUACAGUGGUGCCCCGCAAGACGAAUGCCUCGCAAGACGAAAAACUCACUAGACGAAAGAGUUUUCCGUUUUUUGAGUCGUUCUGCAAGACAAAUUUCCCUAUGGGCUUGCUUCGCAAGACGAAACGUCUUGCGAGUUCUUGCAAGUUUGUUUCCUUUUUCUUAAAGCCGCUAAGCCGUUAAUAGCCGCUAAGCCGCUAAGCCGUUAAUAGCCGCUAAUCCGCUAAGCCGCUAAUAGCCGUGCUUCGCAAGACGAAAAAACCGCAAGACGAAGAGACCCGCGGAACGGAUUAAUUUCGUCUUGCGAGGCACCACUGUAUCACAAUAUGGACUUCAAACUGGUUUGGGAUGAUAUACCGAUCGAUAUAUCGCCCAGCCCAACUGACCUCACUCCUCCCCUUUGCUACUGCUCAGAAUAUGUUUCUCCCCAUCCCACAAGAACUUUGGAACUGAAGGCUGUGUCAUAUGGGACACUUGACCAUCUUAUUAAAAAAAUAGAUGUGUUCUAUCACAAGUAUGGGUGCACAGGUCCAAGAUCAAAUUUGUUCAGGUGCAGAGGUGGCCUCAGUGAAAGGGAAGGAAGAGUCCCAUCUUUCCUGCGUUGCUUCCAUGUAUGUCCUAAUUUGCCUCUGGCCCCUGCUGCAGUUGAUGAGAUUCCAGCUAUAUGGCAGAUUGACAUAGGUAGCACAUCUAACAGCCCUAAGUUUCUUUUGGGCCAGAGAUGAAUCCACACCUUGAAGAGCUUAGUCAAAGUACCUUUGCCAACACAAUGGCUUUUGAAUGAAGAGACCAUAUGGGCAGCAAGUCAAGAAGACGUUGAUUUCAGCAGUAACAUUUGAAAGGGUUGUGGAAACAAGAUUUCCACGCGGCAUGCUUCUCGUCCGAAAAAGAACUCUGCAUCGCUCCAGAGCGCUAGUUUUUCCACAAAACGAAACGCACGCCCCUCUUUUUUCAGAAAACACACAGGUCCAAGUUGCAUUAAAAAGAGAGGGGGAAAGGAACGUCAAAUGUUCCUUCUUAACAAAUGAAAGCAUUGCAUUUCCAAUCCCACGAAAGAGAGGCAAGGCAGAGC